RNAcentral lists this ribosomal RNA (1365 nucleotides) under uncultured bacterium. RNAcentral describes it as "bacterial SSU rRNA". It matches the Rfam family "Bacterial small subunit ribosomal RNA", at positions 46 to 1401 of the family's 1533-position model. The record is from RNAcentral.
GCUUAAUACAUGCAAGUCGUACGCUGAUGCUCAGCUUGCUGGGUGGAUGAGUGGCGAACGGGUGAGUAACACGUGAGUAAUCUGCCCUUUUCUUUGGGAUAACGUGCGGAAACGUGCGCUAAUACUGAAUAUUCGCAUCUUUGCCGCAUGGUGGGGUGGGGAAAGGAUCUUUAUGGUCUGGGAGGGGAUGGGCUCGCGGCCUAUCAGUUUGUUGGUGGGGUGAUGGCCUACCAAGGCGUGGACGGGUAGCCGGCCUGAGAGGGUGUUCGGUCACACUGGGACUGAGAUACGGCCCAGACUCCUACGGGAGGCAGCAGUGGGGGAUUUUGCACAAUGGACGUAAGUCUGAUGCAGUGACGCCGCGUGGGGGAUGGAGGCCUUCGGGUUGUAAACCUCUUUCGCCAUCGACGAAGCCGAUCUUUGGGUGGGUGACGGUAGGUGGAGAAGAAGCACCGGCCAACUACGUGCCAGCAGCCGCGGUAAUACGUAGGGUGCGAGCGUUGUCCGGAUUUAUUGGGCGUAAAGAGCUCGUAGGUGGUUUGUCGCGUUGGUCGUGUAAUCUUGCAGCUUAACUGUGGGUCUGCGGCUGGUACGGGCAGGCUGGAGUGCAGUAGGGGAGACUGGAAUUCCUGGUGUAGCGGUGAAAUGCGCAGAUAUCAGGGGGAACACCGGUGGCGAAGGCGGGUCUCUGGGCUGUUACUGACGCUGAGGAGCGAAAGCGUGGGGAGCGAACAGGAUUAGAUACCCUGGUAGUCCACGCUGUAAACGGUGGGCGCUAGGUGUGGGGGGCUUUUAUGUUUUCUGUGCCGUAGCUAACGCUUUAAGCGCCCCGCCUGGGGAGUACGGCCGCAAGGCUAAAACUCAAAGGAAUUGACGGGGGCCUGCACAAGCGGCGGAGCAUGCGGCUUAAUUCGAUGCAACGCGAAGAACCUUACCAGGAUUUGACAUACACCCUGUUCCUGCAGAGAUGUGGGGUCAUUUGGUUGGGGGUGUACAGGUGGUGCAUGGUUGUCGUCAGCUCGUGUCGUGAGAUGUUGGGUUAAGUCCCGCAACGAGCGCAACCCUUGUCCUAUGUUGCCAGCGGGUGAUGCCGGGGACUCAUGGGAGACUGCCGGGGUGAACUCGGAGGAAGGUGGGGAUGAGGUCAAAUCAUCAUGCCCUUUAUGUCCUGGGCUGCACGCAUGCUACAAUGGCCGGUACAAAAAGUUGCGAUGCCGUGAGGUGGAGCGGAUCUUUUUUUAAAGCCGGUCUCAGUUCGGAUCGAAGUCUGCAACUCGACUUUGUGAAGGUGGAGUCGCUAGUAAUCGCAGAUCAGCAGUGCUGCGGUGAAUACGUUCUCGGGCCUUGCACACACCGCCCGUCACA